CCAGCCGCCACCGAGGACACCUUGUGUGGCCCCAGUCCUGGCACUGGCCUGGCUCCCAGUGAGGGUGGCCAGACCCUGGGCAGGGCUUCAUCGGCUGAGCUGCCUCCUGGCUGGUGGGCCUCAGCCUGCUUCUGAGGGAGGAGCAGCCCAGGUGUCCCUCAGCCUGUUUCAGCUCCAGCCGCUCCCUCGUGUUCUGUCUGCACUUAGUCCCCCCACAUGCUGCCCACCUCACACACACCGCUGCCUUCCUGGCUGCUGGAAGCUGGGUGAGACAGCCUGCCCUCUUGCAGGGCAUCACAGGGGCACCUGGCCCUCCACUGCCCCACCUCUGACCUCUGUGGUGUCACUGUGCUGCCCUGGGGACCCCAGGGUCAAGGGCUCGAGCUGUGUGCCCAGCUGUGGCCCCUCCAAAGAGUCCAGAACCAACCAAGGCCCUUGACUGUGCAACCCUGGUUCUUGCCUCGCCUGAGAGUCUCUGCCCAAAUGCAUCUGGAGUCCCUGCCCUGCCAUGGAACUAGAGGUCGGAAGAGUGCAAGUGUGGGAUCGCUGUCCCCACC
RNAcentral lists this long non-coding RNA (557 nucleotides) under Homo sapiens (human). RNAcentral's name for it is "non-protein coding lnc-AP1B1-2:1". The record is from RNAcentral. Lineage: Eukaryota; Metazoa; Chordata; Mammalia; Primates; Hominidae.